Camellia sinensis is the source of this 961-nucleotide long non-coding RNA. RefSeq lists it as uncharacterized. Lineage: Eukaryota; Viridiplantae; Streptophyta; Magnoliopsida; Ericales; Theaceae. The record is from RefSeq and is a predicted model, not a curated record.
GCUUUGUUGCUUCUUUGGUUUGUAACGUAGAUUUGGGCUGGCUACGUGGCUUCAACUUAGCCACACACGUGACAGCAGAACAAAACAAAUUCCAUCAUUCCUCCUACAAAUUCCUGAUUCCUUCAUGCUUUCAAUCUGCGAAGCAGUGGAAAUUGAUUUCUCCUAGAAGAUUCAUUUGUUCGGUGCACCGCUCGGAUAACAAUUGCUAGCAUUCAAGCAAUAUCGCCUCUGCAACUACCAAAACUUCAGCUAAUUUCUUUGCUUGCUCAACUGCUGGAAAGAUUUCUAAUGUGUUGCUAAAGAGAGUCGGUUAGUUGGUGCACAAAGCCAAGUCUAUAUAUAUAUAUAGAGAGAGAGAGAGAGAUAUGUGUGUAUACUCUUUGUUCUGUUUCGCUUCUUGUCUUGGUUCAACUUCUUUGUUUCUCGGUUCAUAGAUUACUGCCCCAAAUCCACAAUCUGCGAGACAUACUGUCUGGUCCUUUGGGAUCAGGUGUAAAGAGAAGAUUGCUUGCUAUGUCAUAGUUAGAGGUAAGAAGGCAAUGCAACUUCUGGAGAGUGGAUUGAAGGUAAAGGAAUAUAAGUUGCUGUGAAGGAACUUCGGUGAAACUGGCUAUUUUGGCUUUGGUAUUCAGGAGCACAUUGAUCUCAGAAUUAAGUGAUGGACUUGGUUAUAAAAAGCCAUGAAGAGGAGAAAGGAGUUCAGGGAGGAGCAGAGCUUGCAGGAAAGCUCCAGCUCCAAGUGAGAGUGUGUAUUUUUUUUUUUUUUUUGUAAAUAUUAGAAUGAGUGUUAGGAAAUAAUUUCAUUUUUUAGGGUAGAGAUGAAACUCUGACUAAAUAAUUAGGGUGAGUUGCUGUUGGCUUAUUUUUUUUACGAAGGAAAAUAUCAUAUGCGAGCGUGUCAGUAAGAAUUGAAAAAUCCUUACAGAUUAAAUUCAAGCCAAUUAUCAAGCGAUUGUGUUGA